AGAGAGAGACAUGCGCGCAUAUCAAUAAGCGGAGGAAAAGAAACUAACUAGGAUUCCCUCAGUAACGGCGAGUGAAGCGGGAAGAGCUCAAAUUUGAAAUCUUCAAGGUUUUACCUUGACGAAUUGUAGUUUAAAGAAGUGUUUUCUGUUGGAAUUUUGGUAAAAGUUCUUUGGAAAAAGACAUCAAAGAGGGUGAGAAUCCCGUAUUUGACCAUUAUUUCCAGCUUUGUGAUACACUUUCAAAGAGUCGGAUUGUUUGGGAAUGCAGUCCAAAAUGGGUGGUAAAUUUCAUCUAAAGCUAAAUAUUGGCGAGAGACCGAUAGCGAACAAGUACCGUGAGGGAAAGAUGAAAAGAACUUUGAAAAGAGAGUUAAACAGUACGUGAAAUUGUCAAAAGGGAAGCGUUUGACACCAGUGUUGUUUUCUCGAAAAUCAAUUAAAAAUGGUGGGAUUUUGUGUUGUAUUGACUUUAUCAGCUUUCUGCACUUUUUUCCUGUCUUUCUUAAUGCACUUUUCGUUUAACAAGUCAACAUCAAUUUCUUUUGUUGUAAAAGGGUAAUAGGAAGGUGGCUUUACUUUCGGAGUAAAGUGUUUAUAGCCUUUGGACUCUGCAAUCGGAGAGAUUGAGGUCUGCAGCGUAGAUCCUUCGGGGCUAGAUAGCAUUUGUGCUAAGUUAUAGCUUUCAUAGACAACUUGUUGACUAUGAUUAGUCAUUGUAGCUUACUCGCUUACUGCUAUUUUACCUACGCUUAGGAUGUUGACAGCAGUAUAGACUGU
This 777-nucleotide ribosomal RNA is filed under the name uncultured Neocallimastigales. RNAcentral describes it as "partial large subunit ribosomal RNA". It matches the Rfam family "Eukaryotic large subunit ribosomal RNA", at positions 23 to 633 of the family's 3401-position model. Lineage: Eukaryota; Fungi; Neocallimastigomycota; Neocallimastigomycetes; Neocallimastigales. The record is from RNAcentral.